UACGAAGGGGGCUAGCGUUGUUCGGAAUUACUGGGCGUAAAGCGCACGUAGGCGGACUACUAAGUCAGGGGUGAAAUCCCGGGGCUCAACCCCGGAACUGCCUUUGAUACUGAUAGUCUCGAGUCCGGAAGAGGUGAGUGGAAUUCCGAGUGUAGAGGUGAAAUUCGUAGAUAUUCGGAGGAACACCAGUGGCGAAGGCGGCUCACUGGCCCGGUACUGACGCUGAGGCACGAAAGCGUGGGGAGCAAACAGG
This 253-nucleotide ribosomal RNA is filed under the name uncultured bacterium. Its description in RNAcentral is "partial 16S ribosomal RNA". It matches the Rfam family "Bacterial small subunit ribosomal RNA", at positions 524 to 776 of the family's 1533-position model. The record is from RNAcentral.